This 390-nucleotide ribosomal RNA is filed under the name uncultured bacterium. RNAcentral describes it as "bacterial SSU rRNA". It matches the Rfam family "Bacterial small subunit ribosomal RNA", at positions 28 to 419 of the family's 1533-position model. The record is from RNAcentral.
GACGAACGCUGGCGGCGUGCUUAACACAUGCAAGUCGAGCGGUAAGGCCCUUUCGGGGGUACACGAGCGGCGAACGGGUGAGUAACACGUGGGUGACCUGCCUUUAGCUCUGGGAUAAGCCUGGGAAACCGGGUCUAAUACCGGAUAUGACUCCGCGGCGCAUGUUGUGGGGUGGAAAGCCUUGUGCGGCUGGAGAUGGGCCCGCGGCCUAUCAGCUUGUUGGUGGGGUGAUGGCCUACCAAGGCGACGACGGGUAGCCGGCCUGAGAGGGCGACCGGCCACACUGGGACUGAGACACGGCCCAGACUCCUACGGGAGGCAGCAGUGGGGAAUCUUGUGCAAUGGGCGAAAGCCUGACGCAGCGACGCCGCGUGAGGGAUGACGGCCUGG